Long non-coding RNA from Ictalurus punctatus (channel catfish), 9376 nucleotides. Lineage: Eukaryota; Metazoa; Chordata; Actinopteri; Siluriformes; Ictaluridae. The record is from Ensembl.
AAUACAUUUCACUGUUGAAAUUUCAUAUAGCAAGUUUUUCAUAAUAUAUAAUUUGUACAAUAAUUUAUCAUUUAUAUUUAUACAAUUUAUACUUAGGAAGAAAGUACUUCAAAAGCUUAUUUUUGUAAUCACGGGCUAUCUAAAUGGUACUUUGUUUGGAGCCCUUAAUUAUAGGGAGACACUGUGUUGUAGGGUUCUACAUGGAACCUUCACAGAUUCCACCAGAACCAAAGCACUUUUACAGGUUUUAGAUCUGAAUCUUUUCAGAUGUUGAUUAGACCAUUUUCAUGAAUAAUGCACAUAAAAAUUCAUCCUUAGUUCGUUUAUUUAUAAUAGGUUACAUAUUUUAAAAUUUUACAAGCUUAUCGUAGUCUAAUGAUUUUCGAACGUUAUAAAUAUAGAAAACCUAAAAAAAACAAAAACAAAAACAAAAAAACAUUGAAGGUGUAAAUGAGGACUUAAAAUGUUUGAUUUGAACAGAUUAUAAGUAAAGUUGAAUAAUAUUACAAGCGUAAAUUCACGUGUAAAAGCCUCAUCAGCGCCGAGAUUUCAAUGCAAUUAGCGCAAUCUGGUGGAAACUCUCCCUAUCUGGCAACCCAGAUACUAAGAGACUGGAGCUAUGCGCUUGAACUUGACCGAGUGGAACUUCAGGGGUAAAGCGAUGGUAUUUACCCCCCACCUCACCCCACCCCCGUCUUCUCUUUUAUUCGGGAUAAGUCUUUAAGACUUGAUGUGAGUGCUCAUUUCCAUAACAUGUUGCCUAGCGCCAAUUAAAGCUCAGUGCACGACUUUUCUCCUGGAGCGACAGCUUGGUGAUGCUGAAAGCGCACUGAGGGUGAGUAUCCAAAUAUCCAAACCUAGUCUGCUCAACGCUAAGCAAAUAGUUUGUGAUGGGGUAUUUACCACGAGAUUCGAUUUUUUAAAAAUCUUGCUGUUAUUUUAUAUUAGCCUACCAAUCAAUGUCUUAUACAGGUUUUAUCUGUUUGUCUAUCUAUUUCUAUAAAAAGAAAGAAAGAAAUCAAAUUAGAAUUAGAAAUGUUUCAAGACUAACCUGGUUACUUCAAACAACAAAUUUGUUUUGUUUGCUUGUUUGUUUGUUUGUUUAUAGGCCCGUUGCAGACUGUAAUUUCCUUCAUUUCAGUUCUCCAACUGUCAAAAAUGCACAAUCUGAAAUACUGAAAAUAUGAGAUAAUAUAAUUAAUCUGAAUAAGUCCUAUCAAAUGUAUUUUUUUAUAAGUAAGAAGCAAAUUGAGGAAAAAAAUAGGAUGAUGGGUGUAGUUUUUCAGUAAUUCCAAAAAAAAAAAAAAUCUUGUGUUUUCAUUUGCCUUGUAACACGAGACAGAGGAAGUAACAUGUACAUGGAUGCCCAACUCUUAAUGUUUAUUGAACAUAUUACCUUGAAUGCAUGCUGAUGUUCAACAGCAGAAUGCUCAGACUGCCUUGAAGAGAGGCUCAUUUUUAAAAACAUUUUUCAAAGCAACAGUACCAAAGAGUGUAAGAAAGAUUAAAAUAGUCACUAUGAUACUGUAUACUCUUAAAAAAUGCAAUUGCUACAAACAACAAACGACUCGAUAUCUGUCUCAGUAACUCUUAUAAAUAUUAAUGGGAUUUAAAACUCUGCUACAUCCUUGGGAUCACUCAGAGGGUUUACCCAGCGUUUUAAGUAACACCUGUUGCAUAGUGCUUGCUGCUUUACACUGUGAAUUCACGCUUGAUGCUAAUUCUGGUCAUAUUUGCUGGUCUGGUGAUAGGCCUAUCUGAAAGGUAAAACUGAAAAUAUGUUGGCUAUGCUCUUUUGAUGAUUGAUUUCAUGACCUAGAGCAAGCAGCAGCCAGUCAGAAAUGUAGGAGGUCACGUUCAUUUGUAUUAGAAUGCUAUUAUUAUCACUGAAUUUGAUUAUAGAGAAAGUCAAGUGCUUUUGUAUCCACUUGAAACUUCUUAUAAAUAACUGAUGUGUUAUUGGUGAAUAAUUAGAUUAUGUACUACCUAAACUACAAAAACAGAAAAUUAUGCAGAGUUAUAUUAAAACUUAAAGUGUAGGCUAUAUCUAAGUCGUCCGUAGUACACUGUUGCAGAGAUUCUUGAAAUAUGAAUAGUUAAAAAAAAUCAUUUCAAUAAAGUUAUAACAUACUGUUGAAAAUAGAGAUGAAUUAACUCUUACUGUAUUCAGUUGUCCCCAGUUGGACUGUAAGCUUUAAUACAACACUGUGUGUUUUUCUGUAUACACUAAAUUAGCUGUAUUACUAACCUUUAGAAGAAACAUGCAGCGUUAUAUUACAUGGAUAUAGUGUAGUAUAUGUAGUAACAGUGCAGUCUUUCUGUGCGGCUUCAAAUUUGGACGCCUUUCGUUUAUCAGGUGUAUACAGGAAGACAAAUGGAUACCACUGCUGCCCUAAAGAGAAAUGAUAUUAGCGCAAAUGGUUAAAAUCAGUUGGUCAAGUGAUGGGAUAUAUUUGUACUGUUUGGGUGCAUUACAACGAAUUCAUUUGAAAUGUGGUUGAUAUAAAUGUGCAAGACCAGGUUUCUGACCAACUGACCAUAAGAUAGUAAUAUAAGAAACAAGAGCUCCCAACGCGUUACAGCAUGGCAUGACAUGUGGAUAAUACUUUUAAUGUUUGGAAGUCUUAGCAGCUCAUCAUUUGUGACACUAUGUAAGUAACGACAAGCCAUAUUUCUUGCAUAUGCUUCCAAUAAAGCACGUGUCAUUAUUUCACUAUAGCAAUAUUCACUACAUUAUACAGUCCAUAAUCAACGGAAAUAACGGCUCUGUUAUAGGAUUAUUAUAGCGUAUUGCUGUAAUAAUAGCUAUUAUGCCUAUUAUGGCAAUGGCAUGUGAACAGUUAUUAGUGUUACAAAUACUGCGUGUGUUUACCUCAAAAUUGUUACAAUACAUUACCUGACAUUGCAACUAGCAUAUAUUAUAAAGAACUAUCUUUUAACCUGUUUUCUUAUUGGCAAAUUGAAAGUGUCAGAGAUUCCACGAGAUUUUUUUUUAGAGCAUUUGCAGUUUUGCACGUCUCUCCUUGACCCUCUUUUACGCUUACAUAUCAACUUCAAAUCUUUUAAUCUUUUGAAACGUAUUUUUCAUCGUGUGCGCUAUUUUCAUUCAUUUCCUUUUUAAAUUUAGGCUAUUAGUUUCAUUUCCAUAUUUCCCAAAUAAGCAAUAUCAGAUUUAUUUGUGUAUUUAUUUAUUUGACACCAGAGGUGCGAAAUGUCCAAGAAUACAGUUAUUCGUUUCAUUUUCAUGUUUAUGUGAAACAUUCAUUUAAAUACUCAGGCCAACUUCUCAUCUCCUUUAUUUAUUUAAUUUUUUAACAAUUGGUCCACAUCUAAAUGUCUGCACAAGUACCCCCAAAACUGAAGAAGGAGGUAAAUGGGAAGAUUCCUGCAGACGUAGUUCACGUGGUUGCCAGAUAGGUCUUUUAUCUUCUGGUUCAGAAGAUAUAGGCUUUUAUCUUCUGGUUCAGCUUAAACUGUGAGGAAACAUUCAUGUGUCAGAUUGUGGUGGACAUAUUGUUUUCCCUCAUUUUGGAAUUGAAUAUGACUUAUAAAUUGUUUAUCUUACAUCUGCUUAAUUCGCACAAGCUGUAGGAUGUGUAAUAAUUUCGGAGGUUUUUCGUAAAUUUUGAUGGAGUUUAAAUGAUUGCUAGAAUUGUAUCAUCAAAACAAUCUGCUAAUGUUCUAUACUGUGGGACCUAAAACGCGACAAAACUCAUCCUACAGUCAAAAUAUUUUGCAUGUCUUCCCGAAUGAACAUGUGUGUAUAAUAUUACAGCUUCGCAAUCAUGAAAAUGGGGUGUGAACAUGUGCUAUUGCGCCGUUUCGCCGAUAAGUGUCGCUGUUUCUUUUUCAACGUCUACACCAUCCGUCAGCCGACCUUUCAUUCCGCUUACACCUAGGAUGUAGAUUUAUACUGUUAAACCCUGCAAAGCCUGUUAUGACCCAAAUGUACGAGUUAAAAGUGGACGAAAUGAAAUAAAUAAAUAAAUAACAAGAUGAAAAAUAUCAGUACUAAGAAAAUGGAACUCACUGAAAUAUUGCCUUCAGGGUUGAAUUCCAGAUGGACUUUUUGUUAAUUUAACACUGGGGAUAUUUCUAUGCAGUCUCAGAAUAACCACAUAACAAUACUACUUCAAUGUUUUGAAAUAAAAAAACACGCGAUUUAUAACGUGCAGGAUGCAAUAAACACACACACACACACACACACACACACACACACACACACACACACACGCACACACACACACACACACACACACACACACACGGGAAUGCUUUGAUUUAACUAAACGGAGCUCUCUCGUCCGUUCUUAAAAGAAUUCUAGGAAUCAAACAGGAUCCUACAUUCACUUCAUAACAGAUGAAAUCUCCCAAAACUCAAUCAACUACUUUACUGUAGCUCGCUUGAUAUCAAAAAUUAUAUCAAAAACAUGUGCUUUAUGUUGGCACGUUUUAAAGCUAUUUUCACUUUCGUUAAUCUGUCGUAUAUUUAUCAACUAACUAGAAUAAUUUUCUAACUUGGUUUUCUAAAAUAAGAAGAGAUAUUUUAAAAAAUAUGAAGGAGAACAAUUUUUUACUUGGCAACCUCCCCCCCACAGAUAACAGUAAAUUAACGACACCUGUCAAAAGAACAAUGACUUAAAAUGAACGAGCUGUGAAAAAAGCUAUUUUUCGAGAGUAAUCUAUUAUUAUUAUUAUUAUUAUUAUUAUUAUUAUUAUUAUUAUUAUUAUUAUUAUUAUUAUUAUCUAGUUUCAGUUCCAGUCUAUAAGAUACAAUGUAUAGGCCUACCUAAAACCAGUUUUUAUGUUUUAUUCCUAUACUACUACUACUACUACUAUUAAUAAUAAUAAUAAUAAUAAUAAUAAUAAUAAUAAUAAUAAUAAUAAUAAUAAUAAUAUUUUACAUUGAUUUAUAUUUUUGCAUCAAAAGGAACAGUGGGUUCGUUUCUCAUUUUCUGUUUUUAUCCAGAAACAGUACCUAAAACUUGAAAUUUCGUUCACUUUCGUUCAGAAUCUAGGACAUCAACUGCCUCUUCUAUAAUAACCAAUGAAUACGACGAUUAAUCUAGUCAUUAUUGUAGAGAUUAUGACAAUUUAAUAUUAUUAUUAUUUACUACAGCAUUAUAUGUCAGCUUUGAGAGAAAAACUUGGACCUAAAAACCAAGACAAUUUUGACAGCUGAGAAUAAACUGCAAUUAAACAACAACCAAAGAAUUAAAAAAAAAAAACCUAUGUCGUGUAAAAUUAUAAGGCAAAACAGCACGCUGAGGUCAGUGACGUCAAGACGCACGCAUACACAUGGCUGAACGGAGGUAGUCAGCCAAUCAGAGCUUCCCUUGCGCUGUGGUUUGACGUGUUGAGAAUGCGCCACAUAGCAACGGUUUCUGCGCGCGCACCUUGUGGAUGCGGAACUGAGAGCGCGCGUUUCCGAGGCAACGUAACUCAUCCCGGCGCUUUAUUUCACAAACCUGCCGGUUCAGGUACAGAUGUGGCGCUGGUUUUGGGCUCUAAUCCUGCCCUCAGUACACUCUGACUUAAUAUCGGACAGCUUAUCUGCAUCAAAGGAUAAUCUUUCUUGACUCGCCUCGUCUGUGACUCAGAGCAAAGCAGCAAUAAGGUGAAAAUGUGUGAUCAAUGUGGAGCACGGCCUGAGAUGCUGAAAGUCAAGGCCAAAAACACAAAGCAAGAGUACAGCGUUUGGGAGUUAUGAGUGUUGUUCAGAGCCGCUCCCUGGAUGGUGUGUUUCAGAUCUGUAGCCCUGACCCAGUGCAGGAUGAAAACCAUGACGUCAAUGAUAUUUUACUGUCAAUGACUGCUUAAAGAAUUUAGCUUUUGCCCCUUUAAUACUGGUGAGUAUUUCAAUAAGGUAAGUUUCUGAUCAUAAUUUAACAGCAUAAAUAAAAAAAAUGCUGUGAUACUGCAUUCAUAUAAACUUUUCUGUUUGUUUGUUUGUUUGUUUAUUGGCACCUAGAGUAUAAAAAUAAACUUUGGGUUGCAGGUUUCUCAUCUAAAAAAUGUUUUUCGCUCUUUUUUUUUUUUUUUUACUAUAUUGUAACAUUUUUUUCAGUUGCAACAAGUACAUUUUUCCCAUUGGUAUGGUUUUGAUUGUAUCUAACCUGUAUGAUGUAUAGCACACUAUGGAAAUCUGAAACAUUUAUACACUUAAUAGAGUACUAUACAGCUACAGAUGACGAUAUCAUUUGCAGGCAUAUUUGCAUUUUUAAGAACAAACAUACAAGACGAAAAAGCACAACCUGCUCGUACAAAGCAUGAUAUCCUUAUAGCCAUACGUUAAUUAUAGCAUAAUCUCUGAUAUUUCUUGAAGCUGUAUACUAUUGUAUGAAUACUGUAAUAAUAAAUGAAUUAUGCAGAAUGAAUGAACAAUAAAAGUGAAACCUGAAUUUUUUCUGUGUUGUGUGUGUUUUUUAACUUACGUUUGUCCAAUACAAUAUAAAACUGUUUCUCAUUAUUAUUGACGGGGAUACAUAAAUAAAUGUUUAUUUCCAUGGGUAAACAAAUUAAUAUACACUACCGAUGAAAAGUUUAGACACACUCAUUCUUUAUUUUAAUUUGAAUUUUUCCACAUUUUAAAAUAAUAAUAAAGUCAUCAAAACUCUGGAGUAACACAAAUAGGAACUAUGGGAAUUAUGUUGUGAUAAAAAUAGAAUAAAUACAAAUAAUUUAAUAUUUGAGCAUCUUUAAAGAUGCCCUUUUUGCCUAGAAUCUCCAGAAAUGUAUUCUUGGCAUUUUCUCAACCGAUUUCUUGAGGAAUUUCCCAGAGAUGCGUUUUAACCAGUAUUAAAGGAGUUCACACCUACGCUGGACACUUAUUGGCUGCUUUCCGGAAUAUUUCGCUCCAAGUCAUCCAUUUAAACAAAAUAUAAUUUGUAAAUAAAAUGUUAGUUUUCUAAUGAAAGAAAUUAAUAUGUUGGCACAAUUAUAAUGUUGUCUACAACACCGAUUUCAAACAUUUAAUCAUACCUUCCGAUCAAAAGGUUUGUAAGCUCAUGAGAAACAUUUAAGUCAAGUGUCUUGAAACUUUUGACUUGUAGUGUAUUUUGCUUAAUUAAUGAUUUUGAUGUUUGUGUCUGUUUCUGCAUAACAUUACAGGCUCAUUAAUAUACAAAUGCAUUCAAAAGACAUUAUUAAGAUUUCAGUGCAUUUUUAAAGGAGAUUUUAAAAUGUUUUAUUUUAUGUGAAAUGUUUUGUCCUGUUUGAAAUUUUUACGAAUUAGAAAAUAUAUAUUUAUGCAUAAACCUAUGUAGGUUUGAUGACGUUUUGUGUAUAGAUGAAUCGUAUAAAAGAAAAUCAUAAUGCACUAAAGGACUGAUGUGCACCAAGUGUAAUGUUUUUUAAAUAAAGAGUUCUCAAGCUGACACAUUUGUACAAAGUAGCUGGACAUGAAGAUACACACACACAUACACACACACACACACACACACACACACACACACACACACACACACACACACACCCCCUUCUGACCUGUUUCAGUGGCAAUCGUGCUUUCUACGGUGUUUCCUCUACAGAAGCUGCCUCGGUGCCCUGCAGCACACACUCCAAUGCUCACACUCAAACCUGCCCCUUGUGUCCAAACCCCCCCACAUCCACUCUCAACCUGUGUCUCGCUAACACAUCCUGACCCAGGAGCGUGGCUCUGGCCUGAAAACAUGGAGCAGGAGAGAUUAUCCUCCGCGGGCCUGGGUCAGUGGAGAGUGGAGGGGAGUUUGGGCCACCCACGGAGCGUCCAGUGGGCCGUGAGAUGGCCUGAUACACGUGCUUACCAAGCAUGGGAGAUUCUCUUACUCUCAGCAGCAUAAAGCCACACAGCACUGGCCUUUUCUUCAUCAUGGCCCGGGAGAUUAGGGCUGAAACACUCAGCCCACAAUCACACACGCACACACACACCCCUCCCCUAGGUUAUCCUUUGCACAGAUAUGGAGCGCUGAACAGAUCAGUCUGGACACAUCUUUCACUAUUCUUUAGUAAUUCUGCCACAUGGUUUUACUGUCUGCUAGAAGGAAGGGAGGGGCAGGUGAGAAUGUCUCACAUAUUAGCACCAUACUAUUAGCAAGGCUAGCUCACAGUGGUAAUGUCAGGCAACAGAAAGAAGUAUCAUCAUGAUAAUUUGAACCUAUUUUGAAGCUUUUUUUUUCCCCAUUGAUGCAUCUGUAGAAACCUUUUUCUGCUGAUGAACCCCAAAUAAGAAUCACAAGCUCACCAAAAAUGACUAAUGAUAACAUCACAAAGUUUGCCCCCCCCCCCCCCCCCAUAAGAGCAUUUCUUCUUCUCUUAAUAAUUAUAAUCACACAAUUAUUAUGUUAGACAAUUAUUUUAUCAUGACAUAUUCCUUAAAUGCAUAUUUGUGAGAUCCCAGACAUGGUUUAAACUGGAUAAUAUGUCACAUAACCUGACAUCUAGAGGUACAAUUCUUUCAUUUAAGCACGUUAUGAGAGAAAAUAACAAGAAGAAGUGUGUAAUAUUAGAGUGGGGUUAUAUAAUAGUGUCUGAACAUUAAGCUUAUGAAAUCAAUUUGUUCCUGUUUAUUCAGUCUAAAAUUUUGACUUAAAUAUAUAUCAAUAAAAUGCAAUAAAUAAAGUUUCAUGGUUGCACUUACAGAAAUGCAGUUGUUUAAAGAGAAGGUAAAUUUCCAUCUCUGCUGAAAAUGCACUGAUGACUUAAUAUAGCAACAAUAAAGCAGAUAAAAUGUUUAUUUUUAAAACAUAAUGAAAAUCAAAAAUAUUGGCAUUAUAUCUUGCCAUUUUUACAAUUGUCUCAUAUUCACAAAUGAUAGACUGACCAGCAGGAUAAACAUUUUCUUGUUUAUUUUCCUGGGUGAUGUAGACAUUCAAAUGAAUAGAAAAUAUUGUUGACCAUCUUGAGGACAUUAUUCAUGACGGGUUUUCAUUCUGGAGAGAAAGAAAUGGCUAAGGGCAAAUUGUUGUUUUUGGACUUUUUGCACCAUGAAGUCAAAAUGUAACAUGAAUAUGAUUUUAAACAUAUCCAUGAAAUUAUGAAGCAUUAAUCCCACAGUGUAUUUGAAAAAAGAAAGAAAGAAAAAAAAAGGUCACUGGAUAUAUUAUAGUGGUCUGAAACAGAAAGUUUUACAUAUUUAAGAAGUUUGAUUAUCUGAAGCAUUAUGCUAAUGUUUCAUUCAUUAUUGAAGUCUAAAGAUGACAGGUGUAGAUAUAAACAUAGUCUAUUUUUUUUAACUUAAAUAAUUCUAGAAAUAAAAAAAAUGAAGUUCAAAUGUGUGUGAUUUUGAUAUUUUUUAAUCUUAAACUUUUAAUCUUUAUAUGGUAUUUCUAUAUGAUAGUUAACAUCAAUAUAUGAAUAUGAAUUUUAACAUCAACCAUACAAACAAACAAACAAACAA